This 642-nucleotide ribosomal RNA is filed under the name uncultured bacterium. RNAcentral describes it as "bacterial SSU rRNA". It matches the Rfam family "Bacterial small subunit ribosomal RNA", at positions 40 to 699 of the family's 1533-position model. The record is from RNAcentral.
CAAUGCGCGUCCUACCAUGCAAGUCAAGGCGUAGCCGAAGGGCUACGACUGGCGCACGGGUGAGUAACGCGUAGGUAACCUACCCCUACCCCUGACAUAACACCGAGAAAUCGGUGCUAAUAUCAGAUGAGGAGCCGAAAGGCUUCAAAGGGGCAACCCGGGUAGGGAUGGGCCUGCGUCCGAUUAGGUAGUUGGUAGGGUAAAAGCCUACCAAGCCGACGAUCGGUAGCUGGCCUGAGAGGGUGGUCAGCCACACUGGGACUGAGACACGGCCCAGACUCCUACGGGAGGCAGCAGUGAGGAAUAUUGGGCAAUGGGCGAAAGCCUGACCCAGCGACGCCGCGUGUGGGAUGACGGAGCUCUGCUUCGUAAACCACUGUCGGAGGGGAAGAAAAGCUCCCACGGGGAGCUGGGACUGUACCCUCAGAGGAAGGAUCGGCUAACUACGUGCCAGCAGCCGCGGUAAAACGUAGGAUCCGAGCGUUGUCCGGAAUCACUGGGUGUAAAGGGUGCGUAGGCGGGCUUGCGCGUCAAGGGUUAAAGACCUCGGCUCAACCGAGGCAAUGCCCUUGAUACGGCAAGUCUUGAGUGCGGGAGAGGAUGGUGGAAUUCCUGGUGUAGCGGUGAAAUGCGUAGAGAUCA